UGAGGAAUAUUGGUCAAUGGACGAGAGUCUGAACCAGCCAAAUCGCGUGAAGGAAGACUGCCCUACGGGUUGUAAACUUCUUUUGUACAGGAAUAAAAGACAUUACGUGUAAUGUAUUGCAUGUACUGUACGAAUAAGCAUCGGCUAACUCCGUGCCAGCAGCCGCGGUAAUACGGAGGAUGCGAGCGUUAUCCGGAUUGAUUGGGUUUAAAGGGUGCGCAGGCGGGAUUUUAAGUCAGCGGUGAAAUUUUCAGGCUCAACCUGAACACUGCCGUUGAAACUGGGAGUCUUGAGUAUGGAUGAAGUAGGCGGAAUUCGUUGUGUAGCGGUGACAUGCUUAGAUAUAACGAGGAACUCCGAUUGCGUAGGCAGCUUACUAAGCCAUAACUGACGCUCAAGCACGAAAGCGUGGGGAUCAAACA
Molecule: ribosomal RNA, 422 nt
Filed under: uncultured bacterium
Lineage: Bacteria
Description: bacterial SSU rRNA
Rfam family: Bacterial small subunit ribosomal RNA
Source: RNAcentral